RNAcentral lists this ribosomal RNA (368 nucleotides) under uncultured organism. RNAcentral's name for it is "bacterial SSU rRNA". It matches the Rfam family "Bacterial small subunit ribosomal RNA", at positions 526 to 896 of the family's 1533-position model. The record is from RNAcentral.
CGAAGGAUCCAAGCGUUAUCCGGAUUCAUUGGGUUUAAAGGGUGCGUAGGCGGUUUUGUAAGUCAGUGGUGAAAUCCGAUCGCUCAACGAUCGAACUGCCAUUGAUACUGCAGAACUAGAGUACAGAUGACGUUGGCGGAAUGUGUCAUGUAGCGGUGAAAUGCAUAGAUAUGACACAGAACACCGAUUGCGAAGGCAGCUGACGAAACUGCAACUGACGCUGAUGCACGAAAGUGCGGGGAUCAAACAGGAUUAGAUACCCUGGUAGUCCGCACCGUAAACGAUGGAUACUCGAUGUUUGCGAUAUACAGUAAGCGUCCAAGCGAAAGCGAUAAGUAUUCCACCUGGGGAGUACGCCCGCAAGGGUG